UACGUAGGGUGCGAGCGUUGCCCGGAUUUAUUGGGCGUAAAGGGCGCGUAGGCGGCCACGCACGUCCGUUGUGAAAUCGCCCGGCUCAACUGGGCGGGGUCAGCGGAUACGGUGUGGCUAGAGCAAGCUAGGGGGCAAUGGAAUUCCCGGUGUAGUGGUGGAAUGCGUAGAUAUCGGGAGGAACACCAGUGGCGAAGGCGGUUGCCUGGAGCUUUGCUGACGCUGAUGCGCGAAAGCGUGGGGAGCGAACAGG
This 253-nucleotide ribosomal RNA is filed under the name uncultured bacterium. Its description in RNAcentral is "partial 16S ribosomal RNA". It matches the Rfam family "Bacterial small subunit ribosomal RNA", at positions 524 to 776 of the family's 1533-position model. The record is from RNAcentral.